UGCUAAUUUCACAGUGGAAUCUUGAA
RNAcentral lists this non-coding RNA (26 nucleotides) under Mus musculus (house mouse). The record is from RNAcentral. Lineage: Eukaryota; Metazoa; Chordata; Mammalia; Rodentia; Muridae.